Molecule: long non-coding RNA, 642 nt
Filed under: Paramuricea clavata
Lineage: Eukaryota; Metazoa; Cnidaria; Anthozoa; Malacalcyonacea; Plexauridae
Source: RNAcentral
AACACAUGUUCACCCUGUCGGGCCUAGACCUGCGUUUUCAUAACUGCCUCGUGAGAGCAAUGUCGCAGAAUAUAGCUAGUAGCUAGUAUGUUGAUAAACUAAAUGCGGGUAACGAAAAGCCGAACAGUUCAUGGGAUGUACUCGAAUUGCGCAGGUAAUAUGGCUCCAAAAACGUUCUACCAUGGACGAACAUUGGUAGGUUUAUGCUGUUCGUGGCAACUUCAGUGUAUAACAUAACGCGCUUAAGUAUAAUGACAAUAUGAAACGCACUCACCGGUUUAAAAAGUGGAUCAAAUGUGGAUAGAAAACAGCCUUUUUCCAGGUUCUGAACGUCGGGACUUGGAAGCUUCGAUUUAUCCGAGAAAAUGUACCACGGGCAUUUUCGUGUACGGAAAAUUUUCCUUCUAUGUUGUCUCGAAGACCGUUGAAAUCAGAGUGAACUGAGAUAAAAUUUGGCUAGCUUUUGCUGAUAACUGAAGAAUGUCGGCUUAGCAAAAUGGGAUUAUAUUGACAAUUUGGCAUUGACAUGUGGCAGGUGUUGCCCGGAGAGCAAGGCGGUUGUUUUCUUUGCUUAUCGUUUCCGUUUAGUUUUCGGUAUGGAUGUUGCCUCUUAUUAAUCCUAAUUUAUUUUUUAAAAUAAAU